This is a non-coding RNA of Trematomus bernacchii (emerald rockcod), 672 nucleotides long. The record is from the annotation of a RefSeq genome assembly. Lineage: Eukaryota; Metazoa; Chordata; Actinopteri; Perciformes; Nototheniidae.
AUGUUCUCUGUAGCUCUGCUGCUGCUGCUGGCUGCUGGAUCCUGUGUGAAGUGUGAACAGUUGAUACAGCCAGCCUCUGUGACUGUGCAGCCAGGUCAACGUCUGACCAUCACCUGUCAGGUCUCUUAUUCCGUUAGUAGUUACUACACAGCCUGGAUCAGACAGCCUGCAGGGAAAGGACUGGAGUGGAUAGGAAUGAGACAAGGUUCAACUACAUACUACAAAGAUUCACUGAAGAGCAAGUUCAGUAUUGAGAGAGGAGGACAGAGGACAGAGGACACACAGUUUAACAUGAUGGACUAUAGGACAGGACUGCUGCUGCUCACUGUCUGCUGGGCAGGUGUUGAUGGUCAGACUCUGACAGAAUCUGAACCAGUGACUAAAAGGCCUGGAGAAUCUCACAGAUUGACCUGUACAGCCUCUGGAUUCACAUUCAGUAGCCACUGGAUGGCCUGGGUCAGACAGGCUCCUGGAAAAGGACUGGAGUGGGUUGCUACUAUGCACCCUACUAGCAGUGCCCACAUCUACUACUCUGAGUCAGUGAAAGGCCGGUUCACCAUCUCCAGAGACAACAACAGACAGCAGGUGUAUCUGCAGAUGAACAGUCUGAAGGCCGAGGACACAGCAGUGUAUUACUGUGCCAGAGACACACAGUGAGAGACAGUAACAGGA